Molecule: long non-coding RNA, 665 nt
Organism: Notothenia coriiceps (black rockcod)
Lineage: Eukaryota; Metazoa; Chordata; Actinopteri; Perciformes; Nototheniidae
Exons: 5
Source: RefSeq, a predicted model, not a curated record
AAUGCCUUCUAGAAAAGAGGCUGUUGGUCAUCCCCUGUGGUGGCCUCUGCCACGAGCCGGCUGUUAUUAGGUGUAGAGAGUGUCUCCCCGAGGAGUGGUUCUGUGGAGACUGUGAUGUACUUCAUCACAAGAACCAGCCACUCCACAACAGGGACAGUUUAAUGAAUGGUUUUUUUUUAAACCAAUUAGUCCAACAACGUGUCUUGUUAGAGUGGAAGGUGGAUAUGACACCCAUGACCAAGCUUGCAUAUUGCCAACUGUGAAGGCACCCAACUGCUCCUGUAAAGGCACAAACUUCACUGUGGUACCAGGCAAACCAGUGAUUUUAAUUACCAUCAAUGGGCGUUAUGACUUGUAUCUGCCACUAUAUGUCUGUCAAACUUGCCAGCAGCAGUGGACCCCCGACUUGAAAGUCCUCCUUAAGAGUGGAUACUGGCCAGCUUGGGUCAGUAUUUCCACACUUUACACCUUGGACCUCCUGAGCUCCUUUGAAGAGCUCAAGGUCAUCUCUCCGGGAUUCUCCAGACAGGCCUUUGCAAAGCUGCUGGAGCAUCGCACAAAGUGUGGAGGAAGAUCUGGACCUGUCAACGGAGAUGCACUGCAGCGCAGCUUUCUGGAGUUCUCCUAUGCCUCGUAUGAGGAAGACCAGCUCUGCUGUGGUGCUC